Molecule: ribosomal RNA, 468 nt
Filed under: uncultured bacterium
Lineage: Bacteria
Description: partial 16S ribosomal RNA
Rfam family: Bacterial small subunit ribosomal RNA
Source: RNAcentral
GACGAACGCUGGCGGCGUGCUUAACACAUGCAAGUCGAACGGAAAGGCCCUGCUUUUGUGGGGUGCUCGAGUGGCGAACGGGUGAGUAACACGUGAGUAACCUGCCCUUGACUUUGGGAUAACUUCAGGAAACUGGGGCUAAUACCGGAUAGGAGCUCCUGCUGCAUGGUGGGGGUUGGAAAGUUUCGGCGGUUGGGGAUGGACUCGCGGCUUAUCAGCUUGUUGGUGGGGUAGUGGCUUACCAAGGCUUUGACGGGUAGCCGGCCUGAGAGGGUGACCGGCGACAAUGGGACUGAGAUACGGCCCAGACUGCUACGGGAGGCAGCAGUGGGGAGUAUUGCACAAUGGGCGGGAGCCUGAUGCAGCAACGCCGCGUGCGGGAUGACGGCCUUCGGGUUGUGAACCGCUUUCGCCUGUGACGAAGCGUGAGUGACGGUAAUGGGUAAAGAAGCACCGGCUAACUACGUG